GAUGAACGCUGGCGGCGUGCCUAAUACAUGCAAGUCGAGCGAACGGACGAGAAGCUUGCUUCUCUGAUGUUAGCGGCGGACGGGUGAGUAACACGUGGAUAACCUACCUAUAAGACUGGGAUAACUUCGGGAAACCGGAGCUAAUACCGGAUAAUAUUUUGAACCGCAUGGUUCAAAAGUGAAAGACGGUCUUGCUGUCACUUAUAGAUGGAUCCGCGCUGCAUUAGCUAGUUGGUAAGGUAACGGCUUACCAAGGCAACGAUGCAUAGCCGACCUGAGAGGGUGAUCGGCCACACUGGAUCUGAGACAUGGUCCAGACUCCUGCGGGAGGCAGCAGUAGGGAAUCUUCCGCAAUGGGCGAAAGCCUGACGGAGCAACGCCGCGUGAGUGAUGAAGGUCUUCGGAUCGUAAAACUCUGUUAUUAGGGAAGAACAUAUGUGUAAGUAACUGUGCACAUCUUGACGGUACCUAAUCAGAAAGCCACGGCUAACUACGUG
RNAcentral lists this ribosomal RNA (497 nucleotides) under uncultured bacterium. RNAcentral's name for it is "partial 16S ribosomal RNA". It matches the Rfam family "Bacterial small subunit ribosomal RNA", at positions 28 to 507 of the family's 1533-position model. The record is from RNAcentral.